CAGUAGCCGCGGUAACACAGAUGGUGCGAGCGUUAAUCGGAUUUACUGGGCGUAAAGCGUGCGUAGGCGGCUUCUUAAGUCGGAUGUGAAAUCCCUGAGCUUAACUUAGGAAUUGCAUUCGAUACUGGGAAGCUAGAGUAUGGGAGAGGAUGGUAGAAUUCCAGGUGUAGCGGUGAAAUGCGUAGAGAUCUGGAGGAAUACCGAUGGCGAAGGCAGCCAUCUGGCCUAAUACUGACGCUGAGGUACGAAAGCAUGGGGAGCAAACAGGAUUAGAUACCCCGGUAGUCCCUGUCUCUUAUAC
Molecule: ribosomal RNA, 301 nt
Filed under: uncultured bacterium
Lineage: Bacteria
Description: partial 16S ribosomal RNA
Rfam family: Bacterial small subunit ribosomal RNA
Source: RNAcentral